Molecule: ribosomal RNA, 640 nt
Filed under: uncultured Alphaproteobacteria bacterium
Lineage: Bacteria; Pseudomonadati; Pseudomonadota; Alphaproteobacteria
Description: bacterial SSU rRNA
Rfam family: Bacterial small subunit ribosomal RNA
Source: RNAcentral
CGUAACACGUGGGAAUAUACAUAUCGGUAAGGAAUAACACAGAGAAAUUUGUGCUAAUACCUUAUAAUGACUCCGGUCCAAAGAUUUAUCGCCGAUGGAUUAGCCCGCGCUAGAUUAGUUUGUUGGUGAGGUAAAAGCUCACCAAGACUACGAUCUAUAGCUGGUCUUAGAGGAUGAUCAGCCACACUGGAACUGAGACACGGUCCAGACUCCUACGGGAGGCAGCAGUGAGGAAUAUUGCGCAAUGGAGGAAACUCUGACGCAGCCAUGCCGCGUGAAUGAAGAAGGCCCUAGGGUUGUAAAAUUCUUUCAGAUGCGAAGAUAAUGACGGUAACAUCAGAAGAAGCUCCGGCUAAAUUCGUGCCAGCAGCCGCGGUAAUACGAAUGGAGCGAGCGUUGUUCGGAAUCAUUGGGCGUAAAGCGUAUGUAGGCGGACUUGAAAGUCGGGAGUGAAAUCCCAGGGCUCAACCCUGGAACUGCUUCCGAAACUUCAAGUCUAGUAUCCCGGAGGGGUUGACGGAAUUCCGAGUGUAGAGGUGAAAUUCGCAGAUAUUCGGAGGAACACCAGUGGCGUAGGCGGUCAACUGGACGGGUAUAGACGCUGAGAUACGAAAGCGUGGGUAGCAAACAGGAUUAGAUA